AACGAACGCUGGCGGCAUGCCUAACACAUGCAAGUCGAGCGCCCGUAGCGAUACGGGAGCGGCGCACGGGUGAGUAACGCGUGGGAACCUGCCCAGAGGUUCGGGACAACCGCGGGAAACUGCGGCUGAUACCGGAUGAUGCCUGAGGGCCAAAGAUUUAUCGCCUUUGGAGGGGCCCGCGUCGGAUUAGGUAGUUGGUGGGGUAACGGCCUACCAAGCCUGUGAUCCGUAACUGGUCUGAGAGGAUGACCAGUCACACCGGGACUGAGACACGGCCCAGACUCCUACGGGGAGGCAGCAGUGGGGAGUAUUGGACAAUGGGGGCAAGCCCUGAUCCAGCAAUGCCGCGUGGGUGAUGAAGGCCUUCGGGUUGUAAAGCCCUUUCGGCGGGGACGAUGAUGACGGUACCCGCAGAAGAAGCCCCGGCUAACUUCGUGCCAGCAGCCGCGGUAAGUACGAAGGGGGCUAGCGUUGUUCGGAAUGACUGGGCGUAAAGGGCGCGUAGGCGGCGGCUUUAGUCAGGCGUGAAAGCCCUGGGCUUAACCUGGGAACUGCGUUUGAUACUGGGUCGCUUGAGUGUGGGAGAGGAUGGUGGAAUUCCCCAGUGUAGAGGUGAAAUUCGUAGAUAUUGGGAAGAACACCGGUGGCGAAGGCGGCCAUCUGGACCACUACUGACGCUGAGGCGCG
Molecule: ribosomal RNA, 687 nt
Filed under: uncultured bacterium
Lineage: Bacteria
Description: bacterial SSU rRNA
Rfam family: Bacterial small subunit ribosomal RNA
Source: RNAcentral